GCAUCGGUGGUUCAGUGGUAGAAUGCUCGCCUGCCACGUGCCACGCGGGCGGCCCGGGUUCGAUUCCCGGCCGAUGCA
Oryctes borbonicus is the source of this 78-nucleotide transfer RNA. It matches the Rfam family "tRNA". Rfam says of the family: Transfer RNA (tRNA) molecules are approximately 80 nucleotides in length. Lineage: Eukaryota; Metazoa; Arthropoda; Insecta; Coleoptera; Scarabaeidae. The record is from Rfam.